This is a non-coding RNA of Desulfobacteraceae bacterium 4484_190.2, 391 nucleotides long. The record is from Rfam. NCBI's taxonomy places the organism in Bacteria, Pseudomonadati, Thermodesulfobacteriota, Desulfobacteria, Desulfobacterales, Desulfobacteraceae.
GGAGCAGGACAAAUGACCGCCGCCUUGCCUUUGUGCAGGGGGGAGGAAAGUCCGGGCUCCGUAGGACAGGGUGCUGGGUAACUCCCAGUCCUGGUGACAGGAAGGAAAGUGCCACAGAAAAAAAACCGCCCCCUCCGAUUUUCUGCAUAUCGGCGGGAGUAAGGGUGAAACGGUGAGGUAAGAGCUCACCAGUUCCGCCGGUGACGGCGGGAGCUAGGUAAACCCCACCCGGAGCAAGACCAAAUAGGGGAACACUUGAGGGUGGUCCGCCCGAGUUCCCGGGUAGGUCGCUUGAUCUCGAUGGUAACGUCGAGGCUAGAGGAAUGGUCAUUGUCCCAGAAGCGGGUAACUGCUUUGGGAAACAGAACCCGGCUUACGGCCUGCUCUGACA